RNAcentral lists this ribosomal RNA (432 nucleotides) under uncultured bacterium. Its description in RNAcentral is "partial 16S ribosomal RNA". It matches the Rfam family "Bacterial small subunit ribosomal RNA", at positions 29 to 507 of the family's 1533-position model. The record is from RNAcentral.
ACGAACGCUGGCGGCAUGCCUAACACAUGCAAGUCGAACGAGACCUUCGGGUCUAGUGGCGCACGGGUGCGUCACGCGUGGGAACCUGCCCUUAGGUUCGGAAUAACUCCCCGUAAGGGGUGCUAAUACCGGAUAAUGUCUUCGGACCAAAGAUUUAUCGCCUUUGGAUGGGCCCGCGUUGGAUUAGCUAGUUGGUAGGGUAAAAGCCUACCAAGGCGACGAUCCAUAGCUGGUCUGAGUGCAUGAUCAGCUACACUGGGACUGAGACACGGCCCAGACUGCUACGGGAGGCAGCAGUGGAGAGUAUUGGACAAUGGGCGAAAGCCUGAUCCAGCAAUGCGGCGUAAGUGAUGAAGGCCUUAGGGUUGUAAUGCUGUUUUACCCGGGAUGAUAAUGACAGUACCGGGAGAAUAAGCUCCGGCUAACUCCGUG